CCUACGGGCGGCUGCAGUGGGGAAUAUUGCACAAUGGGCGCAAGCCUGAUGCAGCCAUGCCGCGUGUGUGAAGAAGGCCUUCGGGUUGUAAAGCACUUUCAGCGGGGAGGAAGGCGUUAAGGUUAAUAACCUUGUCGAUUGACGUUACCCGCAGAAGAAGCACCGGCUAACUCCGUGCCAGCAGCCGCGGUAAUACGGAGGGUGCAAGCGUUAAUCGGAAUUACUGGGCGUAAAGCGCACGCAGGCGGUCUGUCAAGUCGGAUGUGAAAUCCCCGGGCUCAACCUGGGAACUGCAUUCGAAACUGGCAGGCUAGAGUCUUGUAGAGGGGGGUAGAAUUCCAGGUGUAGCGGUGAAAUGCGUAGAGAUCUGGAGGAAUACCGGUGGCGAAGGCGGCCCCCUGGACAAAGACUGACGCUCAGGUGCGAAAGCGUGGGAGCAAACAGGAUUAGAUACCCUUGUAGUC
RNAcentral lists this ribosomal RNA (464 nucleotides) under uncultured Klebsiella sp. RNAcentral describes it as "bacterial SSU rRNA". It matches the Rfam family "Bacterial small subunit ribosomal RNA", at positions 338 to 795 of the family's 1533-position model. Lineage: Bacteria; Pseudomonadati; Pseudomonadota; Gammaproteobacteria; Enterobacterales; Enterobacteriaceae. The record is from RNAcentral.